Molecule: ribosomal RNA, 253 nt
Filed under: uncultured bacterium
Lineage: Bacteria
Description: partial 16S ribosomal RNA
Rfam family: Bacterial small subunit ribosomal RNA
Source: RNAcentral
UACAGAGGUCCCGAGCGUUGUUCGGAUUUAUUGGGCGUAAAGGGUGCGUAGGCGGCGGAGUAAGUUGGGUGUGAAAUCCCGGGGCUCAACCUCGGAAUUGCAUUCAAUACUGCUUCGCUCGAGUACUGGAGAGGAGACUGGAAUUCAUGGUGUAGCAGUGAAAUUCGUAGAUAUCGGGAGGAACACCAGUGGCGAAGGCGGCGAUCUGGGUCGAUACUGACGCUGAGGUGCGAAAGCGUGGGGAGCAAACAGG